AAUGAACGUUGGCGGCGUGGAUUAGGCAUGCAAGUCGUGCGCGAAUCGUAGCAAUACGAGGAGAGCGGCGAAAGGGAGAGGAUAGCAUAGAUACCUACCCUCGGACCUGGGAUAGCUAUGGGAAACUAUAGGUAAUACCAGAUAAUGUCUCCGGACCAAAGGUGUGAUUCCGUCCGGGGAGGGGUCUAUGUCCUAUUAGCUUGAUGGUGAGGUAACGGCUCACCAAGGCAAAGAUGGGUACGAGGCGUGAGAGCGUGUCCUCGCUCACUGGGACUGAGACACUGCCCAGACACCUACGGGUGGCUGCAGUCGAGAAUCUUCGGCAAUGGGCGCAAGCCUGACCGAGCGACGCCGCGUGUGGGAUGAAGGCCUUCGGGUUGUAAACCACUGUCAGUGCGGAGGAAAUAUAGUGGGGUUCUCCCCAUUAUUUGACCUAUGCGCAGAGGAAGGACGGGCUAAGUUCGUGCCAGCCGCCGCCGUAA
RNAcentral lists this ribosomal RNA (482 nucleotides) under uncultured bacterium. RNAcentral's name for it is "partial 16S ribosomal RNA". It matches the Rfam family "Bacterial small subunit ribosomal RNA", at positions 29 to 523 of the family's 1533-position model. The record is from RNAcentral.